ACUGCUCAGUAACACGUAGUCAACAUGCCCAAAGGACGUGGAUAACCUCGGGAAACUGAGGAUAAACCGCGAUAGGUCAUAAGUACUGGAAUGUUUUAUGGCUCAAAUCUACAUGGCCUCUGGAUUGGACUGCGGCCGAUCAGGCUGUUGGUGAGGUAAUGGCCCACCAAACCUGUUACCGGUACGGGCUCUGAGAGGAGGAGCCCGGAGAUGGGCACUGAGACAAGGGCCCAGGCCCUAUGGGGCGCAGCAGGCGCGAAACCUCUGCAAUAGGCGAAAGCUUGACAGGGUUACUCUGAGUGAUUCCCGCUAAGGGAAUCUUUUGGCAUCUCUAAAAACGAUGUAGAAUAAGGGGUGGGCAAGUCUGGUGUCAGCCGCCGCGGUAAUACCAGCACCCCGAGUGGUCGGGACGAUUAUUGGGCCUAAAGCAUCCGUAGCCGGUCUUGCAAGUCUUCCGUUAAAUCCACCUGCUUAACAGAUGGGCUGCGGAAGAUACUACAAGACUAGGAGGCGGGAGAGGCAAGCGGUACUCAGUGGGUAGGGGUAAAAUCCUCUGAUCCAUUGAAGACCACCAGUGGCGAAGGCGGCUUGCCAGAACGCGCUCGACGGUGAGGGAUGAAAGCUGGGGGAGCAAACCGGAUUAGAUACCCGGGUAGUCCCAGCUGUAAACGAUGCAGACUCGGUGAUGGGCCGGCUUCAUGCCGGCUCAGUGCCGCAGGGAAGCCGUUAAGUCUGCCGCCUGGGGAGUACGGUCGCAAGACUGAAACUUAAAGGAAUUGGCGGGGGAGCA
This 790-nucleotide ribosomal RNA is filed under the name uncultured archaeon. RNAcentral describes it as "bacterial SSU rRNA". It matches the Rfam family "Archaeal small subunit ribosomal RNA", at positions 85 to 878 of the family's 1478-position model. The record is from RNAcentral.